AGAAUCAACGCUGGCGGCGUGCCUAACACAUGCAAGUCGAACGCGAAAGCCCCGCAAGGGGCAAGUAGAGUGGCAAACGGGUGAGUAACACGUGGGUGACCUGCCUUCGAGUGGGGGAUAACGUCCCGAAAGGGACGCUAAUACCGCAUGACAUCCUGCCUUUGGAAAGGUGGAGAUCAAAGCCGGGGAUCGCAAGACCUGGCGCUUGAAGAGGGGCCCGCGCCUGAUUAGCUAGUUGGUAGGUAACGGCCUACCAAGGCGACGAUCAGUAUCCGGCCUGAGAGGGCGGACGGACACACUGGGACUGAGACACGGCCCAGACUCCUACGGGA
This 332-nucleotide ribosomal RNA is filed under the name uncultured soil bacterium. Its description in RNAcentral is "bacterial SSU rRNA". It matches the Rfam family "Bacterial small subunit ribosomal RNA", at positions 26 to 346 of the family's 1533-position model. The record is from RNAcentral.